Molecule: unclassified non-coding RNA, 240 nt
Filed under: uncultured fungus
Lineage: Eukaryota; Fungi
Description: partial contains 18S rRNA, ITS1, 5.8S rRNA, ITS2 and 28S rRNA
Source: RNAcentral
AGGGAUCAUUACCAAACCUGGUGAAAGUCAGUGAGAAAUCACUAACUUGAUCCGAUCGAGCGAGAGUUUUCGGACCCUCUCUUAGUGGUUUUCGGAAUCACUGCUCGUGGUGUCUCUCGUAGAUGCGCGACGAGUAAGUCCCCUCUCUUGACUGAGAACGGGCAAGCAAACAUAGUACUCCUCAAAACACAAAUACAACCAAACAUGAUACAACUGUUACCGGUGGAUCACUUGGUUGGU